RNAcentral lists this ribosomal RNA (373 nucleotides) under uncultured eukaryote. Its description in RNAcentral is "partial 18S ribosomal RNA". It matches the Rfam family "Eukaryotic small subunit ribosomal RNA", at positions 592 to 976 of the family's 1831-position model. The record is from RNAcentral.
CAAUAGCGUAUAUUAAAGUUGUUGCAGUUAAAAAGCUCGUAGUUGAAUUUUUGCUUGCCGCAGAUGUCGGAACUUCCGUACGUUCGGCGGCGUGCAUCCUUGGGUGGAACCUGUGUGGCAUUAGGUUGUCGUGCAGGGGAUGCUCAUCGUUUACUGUGAAAAAAUUAGAGUGUUCAAAGCAGGCUUACGCCGUUGAAUAUAUUAGCAUGGAAUAAUAAGAUAGGACCUUGGUACUAUUUUGUUGGUUUGCGCACCGAGGUAAUGAUUAACAGGGACAGUUGGGGGUAUUCGUAUUCCAUUGUCAGAGGUGAAAUUCUUGGAUUUCUGGAAGACGAACUACUGCGAAAGCAUUUACCAAGGAUGUUUUCAUUAA